Molecule: microRNA precursor, 81 nt
Filed under: Schistosoma mansoni
Lineage: Eukaryota; Metazoa; Platyhelminthes; Trematoda; Strigeidida; Schistosomatidae
Description: mir-3492 microRNA precursor family
Rfam family: mir-3492 microRNA precursor family
Source: Rfam by way of RNAcentral
AGCCUUCUGUAUCCGUGCUGAUAUUUCGUCACACACCAGACCACAAGGGCUGAUGAGACUUACGUUCAGUUUAUUAUCGCU